CACGGCCGUGUUUCCUUUUGCUGUGGUUCUGAACUAUUUGUUGAUUUCCAGUGUUUCCAUGGUGUCUUCAAGCAUGUUCACCCACGCUUCGAUCCCUUUCCCGUCGGAUCUGCUCAUCAGUAUCACCAAAUUCUUGAAUGGCAAUGGCGUCGUGCACACCCACGCUGGCUUCCCCCACCCGUAAUCCACUUCGUACAGCGGGAACCUACACCAACUGCUGAAAUUGCACAUGCUCGUUCCUUCCUGCUUCACCAGGGCUCCAAUAUUCUGCCUUAGGGUUAGGUGUGCUAGAUGGUGCAAUUCGUGGCCUUCCUGGUCUCCGUCGGCGUACGCCGGCGCUAUCAUGUAGCAAUUGCCGAAGGCUUCGUCGUCUCUGAGCGGAGGCGCCAUUCGAGGCCUCAUAUUCACAGGGUGAAGCGUCGCGAAGGUCGUGUAUCGAUUGCAUCGAUUUUGUUCGAUGAAAUGCCUCCAAAUAGAAGCCGACACAGCUUCCACUCUACUCGGAUCCUUCACCUCCGACCCCUGCGCCGUCGCAAUUGAAGUCUUCAAGGACGUUAGCUUCUGAUUAUCGUAAAUGAAUCGUCUCGUCACAAUUUUCUCACUGGAAAUGCCUUUGGACGGGUUCAGAUCAAGUCCAGGCAUGUCGACAGGGAGGAAUUGCUCCGCCAGGACAUGGAAGUUGGGAGCAACAACGCCGGCAGCUUCCCCGCGGCAUAUAGCCGCCCAUGCUUGCAUAAACAUUGCCAACGAAGUUCCGUCUGCUACUUUAUGCGACAGGCAAACUGCCACAGCGAUUCCUCCACAAUCAAAGAGAUUAGCCUGCACUAACAGGACAGCUGCUUCACUCUGUCGAGGAUGGUGCUGUGGCUGCACAGGUAGAUACUCUCUGAGCUCAUCCACAUCAGGAUCUUGUAUGACAUCUCUUAGCUGAGUGUGAACACAAGCUUUGAUGAAUUCAGCACCUUUGUCAUUGCAUUCAAUGAAUCUAUUGCCCUCUCGAAUUCGCCCUGCCAGUGGGUAGAACAUUGUUAGAGUAUUGGAUAAGGACUUCUUGAGGCGGAUGAGCAUAUCAUCGGGGCGAAACUGUUCAGGUUGAUUGGCUGUGUAGAAGAAUAUAAAGGGAGUGUAUAUUGGGACAGAUACUUGAUCAAGAAAGGAAAGUUUCAACUCCCUGAGGUGCAGUGGAGUUGGAGAUGACGGCUGGAUUGUUUCUCUGGAGAUGAUCUCCACUCGUUUCUCCAUCUUCACAACUUAAGUCAAAUAAUGUAUGCUGGUGGGAUGCUGGCAAAGAAAACUUUCGUGGUUAAGUCUCUAGUUGAGUAGGAAAUUGUCUGAUCGAAUAGGGAGGGCACCAGGACGAGUUAGAGUGGACCCAUCCUGACCAACCUCAAUAAGCAGUCCUCAGCUUCUCCACCAAGAGGAUCCAGUUGGUUUCUCCGUCAUUUUCUGCUUUCGCCAUUUGGAAAUUGUUUCCGAACGAAUGCUGAGUCAAUCCCUUUAUCCUUCCUCGCAAGUUCACCGGAUGAUAUGCCACAGACUUGUGUGAUUUCCCGGCAUUUUUGGCCAUCAGACAACGGCUCCACAAGAAUGCCGAAAGAACCUCUAUGCGGUUUUACAGAAUGAGGCUGGACUGCCGGGCUUUUCCAAUUGGGCGUAAAAUCUGGCGUGUUCUGUGGUGGGAAGAGUUUUGCCGAGUUAUAUGCAGGGUAGACCACUCUGCUAGCCUCCCCAGAUGCUAUAGACGUCCAGCAUUCGACAAACGAGCUGAGGGUGCAGACAUCUGCUACACUGUGUGAAAUGCAUAUGCCGACAGCGAUUCCUCCACCGUCAAACCAUGUAACCUGCAGGAUCGGACAAAUAAUGUUGGUAUGGACACAGUUAUAGUACAAGUGUCCUGUCCUAUUAGAACAUCCUUUUACUAACCUGAAUUGCCAGCAGUUCCUCAGCUUUUGUAACAGAGGCGUUGGAGUUGAAAGGGACAAGCUUAUCCAAAAUAAGAGAAUCUGCGGUUUUAACUACCUCAGAUAUCCUUCCGUCAGCAACAGCUUCCAUGUACACAAUCCCCUUGUCGUUGCAAUCGACUGAAGCCUGGCCUUUCAACCUUCCAGCCAGGGGGUAGAAAUGGACCAAAGCAUCUGACAGUGAACUCUUGAGCCUGCAAGACAUCUGGGAUUGGACAAUGCCUUUUCCUUCAUUAAGGUUGUAGUAAAUUACCAGAGGGAUGUAGAGAGGAGGGAUCCUCUCGUCGAUGAAAGAUCGCUGGAAGUUUCUGAGAUGAUUUGGAGUCGGAGAAGACGGUCUGAUGAGCUCUUUCGACACCCGUUGAACCUGCAUACUGCUCAUGCUUCCUGGUGAACAAAACAGGUAUGGAGCUUGUUAUGACAUUAUAGAGACAUCAUGCACAUUGGCUGUUUUACUAUACCUUGGUUGAGUUAAUUAAUUGGAUUAGAAAGAAUCUGGGCUUAGUUAAUGAUAAUAAGAAAAAAAGCCAGCCUA
Long non-coding RNA from Andrographis paniculata, 2496 nucleotides. RefSeq lists it as uncharacterized. The transcript is spliced from 5 exons. NCBI's taxonomy places the organism in Eukaryota, Viridiplantae, Streptophyta, Magnoliopsida, Lamiales, Acanthaceae. The record is from RefSeq and is a predicted model, not a curated record.